Molecule: long non-coding RNA, 724 nt
Filed under: Piliocolobus tephrosceles (Ugandan red Colobus)
Lineage: Eukaryota; Metazoa; Chordata; Mammalia; Primates; Cercopithecidae
Description: lncRNA (ENSPTEG00000031778.1)
Source: RNAcentral
GAGGAAAUAGGACAGAAAGGUCACACAGAAGCCGUAAAGCCAAUGAUCUCUUAUAAAGCAGUUAUUUAGGUUCUCAGUGGCACUGUUCAUCUUCUGGAAGGGAGAUCACUCCAUUCUCUGCCCAUCCCUGUGUCAUCAGCAUAGCUCUGGAUGCUUGGAGUAAAAGAAGAAAGCCUAUUCUACCUUGUUGCUGCUGUACACUCAGAGAUGGGGUUUUUGCCAUGUUGCCCUGGCUGAUCUUGAGCUCCUGAGCUCAAGCAAUCGUCCUGCUCAGACACCAUCUUUAAUCAUCCUGUAGUUUUUGGAAGCUUUCCUCUUGCUGAUGACAUGAUUCCUGUUUGAAUCUGUUGACAAGAUUCUGAAAGCCGAACAGAGAAUUCUGGCACUGCAUUGGGUAGGAAAAAGCUUUUCAAGAAAUAGAUAAUAUCAAGGAGACUGGGACACCGGGAGUGGGAGAGAUUGGACUGGGAGACUCAGCAGGUCAGGACAUUUGCAUUACCAUUUGCUGGUCAUUCUUUUGCCAUCAGUUUUACAAUUCUCUUGCCACUUGCUUAUUUCUUCCAUGUGCUUACUUGAGUUGUUCUCGGUUUGCAAUUUAUGAAUAACACUCUAAUAAUAUAAGAAGCCGAGCAUUUGGGUGUCUUCCUUUUAUAGUUUGAAGAUGAGAAAAAAAAAAAAAACCAAUUAAAAGAAACUAUCAAGAAUAGAAAAAAAAUUUCUUACC